This 887-nucleotide ribosomal RNA is filed under the name uncultured bacterium. RNAcentral's name for it is "bacterial SSU rRNA". It matches the Rfam family "Bacterial small subunit ribosomal RNA", at positions 28 to 887 of the family's 1533-position model. The record is from RNAcentral.
AACGAACGCUGGCGGCGUGCUUAACACAUGCAAGUCGAGCGAGAAAGGGGGGGCAACCCCCUGAGUAGAGCGGCGCACGGGUGAGUAACGCGUGGGUAACCUACCCCCAGGCGGGGGAUAACUACUCGAAAGGGUGGCUAAUACCGCAUGAGACCACGGGAUCUUCGGAUCCUGAGGCUAAAGAUCGCACCGGCUUGCCGGUGCUGUCACCAGGGGAUGGGCCCGCGUCCGAUUAGCUAGUUGGCGAGGUAAUGGCUCACCAAGGCUCCGAUCGGUAGCUGGUCUGAGAGGAUGAUCAGCCACACUGGAACUGAAACACGGUCCAGACUCCUACGGGAGGCAGCAGUGAGGAAUAUUGCGCAAUGGGGGAAACCCUGACGCAGCAACGCCGCGUGGGUGAAGAAGGCCUUCGGGUCGUAAAGCCCUUUCGGACGGGACGAACGCUCCGCGGUGACAAGCCGCGGAGUCUGACGGUACCGUAGGAAGAAGCACCGGCUAACUCCGUGCCAGCAGCCGCGGUAAUACGGAGGGUGCGAGCGUUGUUCGGAAUUACUGGGCGUAAAGCGCGUGUAGGCGGCCUUGCAAGUCAGGCGUGAAAGCCCUCGGCUUAACCGGGGAAGUGCGUCUGAAACUGCUUGGCUUGAGUACGGGAGAGGGAGGCGGAAUUCCCAGUGUAGAGGUGAAAUUCGUAGAUAUUGGGAGGAACACCGGUGGCGAAAGCGGCCUCCUGGACCGAUACUGACGCUGAGACGCGAAAGCGUGGGGAGCAAACAGGAUUAGAUACCCUGGUAGUCCACGCGGUAAACGAUGGGCACUAGGUGUGGGGGGUAUCCACUCCUCCCGUGCCGAAGCUAACGCAUUAAGUGCCCCGCCUGGGGAGUACGGCC